Molecule: long non-coding RNA, 635 nt
Organism: Panicum virgatum (switchgrass)
Lineage: Eukaryota; Viridiplantae; Streptophyta; Magnoliopsida; Poales; Poaceae
Exons: 2
Source: RefSeq, a predicted model, not a curated record
GGGUGACCAUUCAGAUAAGUAUAGUAGCUAGAUUUAAUGAGGCCUUAUGAGGAUUUUCACUAAGAAGCACCUGCUGAUAUGCUAACCCAUCUAAGAAGUUUGGAUGCCUGUUCUAAUCAGGUUAGAACAUAUAUGCUGGAGCCUGUAUUCAUUUGUAUUGCCCAUGCUUCCAAAGUAGCUGUAAUCAUCGUGCAGAAUGUUUGUGCAGAAUUAGUUUUGCUGUUUUUUCAGUAUCAUAUUGACACUGAUCUCACAAUCUUAUUUAGUUUUGUUUUCAGAUAUAGUAGUAGUGGAUUUAUGAGUUCUGAAGAUGAAUGCAGGCUUCGUUUGUGCUGGGGCCAACCUCCUUGGAGGGGCCUUUGGCCAUAUUACUAAACCGUUUGCAAGGUGAGGAUAGUCAUUCAUGGCUUCAAGACAAAGAUAAUCAACAGAUGUCCAGAUACUUUGACCUCUUUUCCUUAAAUGUCAAAUGAUGCAGCACAACUUUAUGUUGAAACAUAGCUAUUGUCCUUCAAUGUAUGAUAAACUGGUAAAUUUGUUUAUCAUCAACUGUAAUGAUAUUUGUAUCAUAUACAUGAAUGAAGGUGUGAUGGAUUAGUAUGUGGGAAGCAUUGAUAUGUGUUGGAAUGAGAUCA